This 253-nucleotide ribosomal RNA is filed under the name uncultured bacterium. Its description in RNAcentral is "partial 16S ribosomal RNA". It matches the Rfam family "Bacterial small subunit ribosomal RNA", at positions 524 to 776 of the family's 1533-position model. The record is from RNAcentral.
UACGUAGGGUCCGAGCGUUGUCCGGAAUUAUUGGGCGUAAAGAGCUCGUAGGCGGUUUGUCGCGUCUGCUGUGAAAUCCCGAGGCUCAACCUCGGGUCUGCAGUGGGUACGGGCAGACUGGAGUGCGGUAGGGGAGAAUGGAAUUCCUGGUGUAGCGGUGGAAUGCGCAGAUAUCAGGAGGAACACCGAUGGCGAAGGCGGUUCUCUGGGCAUUACCUGACGCUGAGGAGCGAAAGUGUGGGGAGCGAACAGG